AUACGUAGGGGGCGAGCGUUGUCCGGAAUGAUUGGGCGUAAAGGGCGCGUAGGCGGCCCGGUAAGUCUGGAGUGAAAGUCCUGUUUUUAAGAUGGGAAUUGCUUUGGAUACUGUCGGGCUUGAGUGCAGGAGAGGUAAGUGGAAUUCCCAGUGUAGCGGUGAAAUGCGUAGAGAUUGGGAGGAACACCAGUGGCGAAGGCGACUUACUCGACUGUAACUGACGCUGAGGCGCGAAAGUGUGGGGAGCAAACAGGAUUAGAUACCCUGGUAGUCCACACUGUAAACGAUGAAUGCUAGGUGUAGGGGGUAUCGACCCCUUCUGUGCCGCAGUCAACACAAUAAGCAUUCCGCCUGGGGAGUACGGCCGCAAGGUUGAAACUCAAAUGAAUUGACGGGG
Molecule: ribosomal RNA, 397 nt
Filed under: uncultured bacterium
Lineage: Bacteria
Description: partial 16S ribosomal RNA
Rfam family: Bacterial small subunit ribosomal RNA
Source: RNAcentral